Molecule: non-coding RNA, 445 nt
Organism: Myotis brandtii (Brandt's bat)
Lineage: Eukaryota; Metazoa; Chordata; Mammalia; Chiroptera; Vespertilionidae
Source: the annotation of a RefSeq genome assembly
UUCUGGGGGACGAGGACCUCACCUGCAAGACAUGACUCCCAUGUGGCUCUUCCUCUUCCUGCUGUCAGCUCCCAGAUGUGUCCUGUCCCAGGUGCAACUGCAGGAGUCAGGCCCAGGACUGGUGAAGCCCUCGCAGACCCUCUCCCUCACCUGCACUGUGUCUGGAUUCUCCAUCACUACCAGUGGUUAUGCCUGGAGCUGGAUACGUCAUCCCCCAGGGAAGGGGCUGAAGUGGAUGGGGAAUAUCUGGGAUAAUGGAGACACUUACUACAGCCCGUCCCUCAAGAGCCGAACCUCCAUCUCCAGAGACACGUCCAAGAACCAGUUCUCCCUUCAGCUGAGCUCCAUGACCACCGACGACUCCGCUGUGUAUUACUGUACGAGACACAGUGAGGGGAAAUGUACCAUGGAUUUUUCAUCCAAUCGUAUGCUGACGGGCACUUAG